This 1700-nucleotide ribosomal RNA is filed under the name Campylobacter jejuni. Its description in RNAcentral is "partial 23S ribosomal RNA". It matches the Rfam family "Bacterial large subunit ribosomal RNA", at positions 1244 to 2925 of the family's 2925-position model. The record is from RNAcentral. Lineage: Bacteria; Pseudomonadati; Campylobacterota; Epsilonproteobacteria; Campylobacterales; Campylobacteraceae.
UUUGCGUCGAAGGUAUACCGGUAAGGAGUGCUGGAGCGAAUAGAAGUGAGCAUGCAGGCAUGAGUAGCGAUAAUUAAUGUGAGAAUCAUUAACGCCGUAAACCCAAGGUUUCCUACGCGAUGCUCGUCAUCGUAGGGUUAGUCGGGUCCUAAGUCGAGUCCGAAAGGGGUAGACGAUGGCAAAUUGGUUAAUAUUCCAAUACCAACAUUAGUGUGCGAUGGAAGGACGCUUAGGGCUAAGGGGGCUAGCGGAUGGAAGUGCUAGUCUAAGGUCGUAGGAGGUUGUACAGGCAAAUCCGUAUAACAAUACUCCGAGAACUGAAAGGCUUUUUGAAGUCUUCGGAUGGAUAGAAGAACCCCUGAUGCCGUCGAGCCAAGAAAAGUUUCUAAGUUUAGCUAAUGUUGCCCGUACCGUAAACCGACACAGGUGGGUGGGAUGAGUAUUCUAAGGCGCGUGGAAGAACUCUCUUUAAGGAACUCUGCAAAAUAGCACCGUAUCUUCGGUAUAAGGUGUGGUUAGCCUUGUAUUAGGAUUUACUCCGAAAGCAAGGAAACUUACAACAAAGAGUCCCUCCCGACUGUUUACCAAAAACACAGCACUCUGCUAACUCGUAAGAGGAUGUAUAGGGUGUGACGCCUGCCCGGUGCUCGAAGGUUAAUUGAUGGGGUUAGCAUUAGCGAAGCUCUUGAUCGAAGCCCGAGUAAACGGCGGCCGUAACUAUAACGGUCCUAAGGUAGCGAAAUUCCUUGUCGGUUAAAUACCGACCUGCAUGAAUGGCGUAACGAGAUGGGAGCUGUCUCAAAGAGGGAUCCAGUGAAAUUGUAGUGGAGGUGAAAAUUCCUCCUACCCGCGGCAAGACGGAAAGACCCCGUGGACCUUUACUACAGCUUGACACUGCUACUUGGAUAAGAAUGUGCAGGAUAGGUGGGAGGCUUUGAGUAUAUGACGCCAGUUGUAUAUGAGCCAUUGUUGAGAUACCACUCUUUCUUAUUUGGGUAGCUAACCAGCUUGAGUUAUCCUCAAGUGGGACAAUGUCUGGUGGGUAGUUUGACUGGGGCGGUCGCCUCCCAAAUAAUAACGGAGGCUUACAAAGGUUGGCUCAGAACGGUUGGAAAUCGUUCGUAGAGUAUAAAGGUAUAAGCCAGCUUAACUGCAAGACAUACAAGUCAAGCAGAGACGAAAGUCGGUCUUAGUGAUCCGGUGGUUCUGUGUGGAAGGGCCAUCGCUCAAAGGAUAAAAGGUACCCCGGGGAUAACAGGCUGAUCUCCCCCAAGAGCUCACAUCGACGGGGAGGUUUGGCACCUCGAUGUCGGCUCAUCGCAUCCUGGGGCUGGAGCAGGUCCCAAGGGUAUGGCUGUUCGCCAUUUAAAGCGGUACGCGAGCUGGGUUCAGAACGUCGUGAGACAGUUCGGUCCCUAUCUGCCGUGGGCGUAAGAAGAUUGAAGAGAUUUGACCCUAGUACGAGAGGACCGGGUUGAACAAACCACUGGUGUAGCUGUUGUUCUGCCAAGAGCAUCGCAGCGUAGCUAAGUUUGGAAAGGAUAAACGCUGAAAGCAUCUAAGCGUGAAGCCAACUCUAAGAUGAAUCUUCUCUAAGCUCUCUAGAAGACUACUAGUUUGAUAGGCUGGGUGUGUAAUGGAUGAAAGUCCUUUAGCUGACCAGUACUAAUAGAGCGUUUGGCUUAUCUUUAAUAAAGCAU